RNAcentral lists this ribosomal RNA (180 nucleotides) under Nodobryoria subdivergens. RNAcentral's name for it is "5.8S ribosomal RNA". The stretch from base 1 to 152 matches the Rfam family "5.8S ribosomal RNA". Rfam says of the family: 5.8S ribosomal RNA (5.8S rRNA) is a component of the large subunit of the eukaryotic ribosome. It is transcribed by RNA polymerase I as part of the 45S precursor that also contains 18S and 28S rRNA. Lineage: Eukaryota; Fungi; Ascomycota; Lecanoromycetes; Lecanorales; Parmeliaceae. The record is from RNAcentral.
CUUUCAACAACGGAUCUCUUGGUUCCAGCAUCGAUGAAGAACGCAGCGAAAUGCGAUAAGUAAUGUGAAUUGCAGAAUUCAGUGAAUCAUCGAAUCUUUGAACGCACAUUGCGCCCCUCGGUAUUCCGGGGGGCAUACCUGUUCGAGCGUCAUUACACCUCUCAAGCGUAGCUUGGUAUU